This 348-nucleotide ribosomal RNA is filed under the name uncultured bacterium. Its description in RNAcentral is "bacterial SSU rRNA". It matches the Rfam family "Bacterial small subunit ribosomal RNA", at positions 72 to 422 of the family's 1533-position model. The record is from RNAcentral.
AGGCCCUUCGGGGUACACGAGUGGCGAACGGGUGAGUAACACGUGGGUGAUCUGCCCUGCACUUUGGGAUAAGCCUGGGAAACUGGGUCUAAUACCGGAUAUACCCUGCUGGUCGCAUGGCCUGGUGGGGGAAAGCUUUUGCGGUGUGGGAUGGGCCCGCGGCCUAUCAGCUUGUUGGUGGGGUUUUGGCCUACCAAGGCGACGACGGGUAGCCGGCCUGAGAGGGUGUCCGGCCACACUGGGACUGAGAUACGGCCCAGACUCCUACGGGAGGCAGCAGUGGGGAAUAUUGCACAAUGGGCGCAAGCCUGAUGCAGCGACGCCGCGUGGGGGAUGACGGCCUUCGGG